RNAcentral lists this long non-coding RNA (979 nucleotides) under Homo sapiens (human). RNAcentral describes it as "HSALNT0353362". The record is from RNAcentral. Lineage: Eukaryota; Metazoa; Chordata; Mammalia; Primates; Hominidae.
CUCCCCUUUCCGUGGAGAGACUAUCAACUCCAUCUGUCACAAAAAUUAAGGCUAAAUCUCCUCUCCAGAAGCAGAGGGAGCCGGGGCUCCGACGCGCUCAGCGUCGGGCUGUCUGCCUCUCCCUAGAGGCCAAGUGAAUUUGAAAUGGCAAAAGUCACAGCCGGAGGCCCAGCACUAGGAGAUUCCUCCGGCUGCGGGAAAUCUUCCUGUACCUGCUGAAGCUGCUGCGUUCCUCAGAGGCGCUUGGUCUGCCGUGGGAAGCUGCACCUCUGCAGUCCCCAAAACCAAAAUCAAACCUUAAAAGAGCCAGACUGAGAAGCCAGUCACCACGUAAGACAUCUGGACCACCUUCAGACUCGCAUGCUGUGAGGAAGCCCAUGCUUACUAUGUGUAGAGGAUACAUGGAGAAGGAAAGAGAUGCCUGGCCAGCUCCCUGCUGUUUCAGCCAUGUGAGUGAAGAAGGCACCAGACUUGUGAGUGGAGACACUAACUUGGAUGUCCAGCCCAGCUGAACCUUCAGGUGACUCCAGCUCUAGCUGCCAUCCUACUGAAGACACAUGAGAGAGACCCCAAGCCAGGGUCAAGAUCAGCGUGAAGCAAGUGAGGCAUUUUGGUGCAAAAUGUAAGGAGGCAUUGACCUUCAUAAUUGGGCUCCAAGACUCCAAGAGUGAGUGCCUCCUUAAAUUUUGUACUUUAGACACUACACUCACCUUUCUCUAGUUCUGGUCUUGCCUCAAGCAAGAAGAGCAGAGCUUAGCUCAGUCAACCCAAAGAAUCCUGAGAAAUAACAAAAAAAUAUUCUUUUAAGCCACUCAGUUUUGAGAUGGUUUGUUAUGCAACAAUAGAGCAUUAGAACUUUUCUUCCUGUCCAAUUGCUUAGGUGAAAGAUGCUAGUAUCUGCCUGAAUUCUUUCCUUUUCUUCACAUUCUACAUUCAAUUAAUGGCUCAUCAUAGGUGUCAAUAAAAUAUUUGAUAAGUU